This is a small nucleolar RNA of Thalassophryne amazonica, 136 nucleotides long. RefSeq annotates it as small nucleolar RNA SNORA14. The record is from RefSeq and is a predicted model, not a curated record. Lineage: Eukaryota; Metazoa; Chordata; Actinopteri; Batrachoidiformes; Batrachoididae. The transcript has a single exon.
GAGCAUCCUUAGUAAACCCCCCAGUUACUCUCUGUGAUCUCUGGGACAAGAAAGGGUGCAAGAUCAAGUUUAGAGUCAUCCAAAGCUGAGGGCCAUGUGUCAGUUGCUCUUGGUUAUUUCAGCUCUAGGACACAAU